This 617-nucleotide long non-coding RNA is filed under the name Homo sapiens (human). Its description in RNAcentral is "TRIM28 interacting DNA damage repair enhancing non- coding transcript". Lineage: Eukaryota; Metazoa; Chordata; Mammalia; Primates; Hominidae. The record is from RNAcentral.
GGAUCAUGAUCGUGUCCGAUGAUCACGGACCCGCCGGAGACUCUCAAUGGAGAGGCGAUGAGUCACAGCCAAGCGAACUUUCUCUGCUCCUGAACAAAUUGCUUCUCCUCGUCGUCCCACUCCAAACCUAGAGGUGGGACAACCCCAGCAUCCUGGGCGUGAACGCACCCAGCUUGAUUGUCACAUGGGGAAUAGAGACCUCGCGCCUGCCUGGCAUAGGCCAACCCAGUAAUGUUCAUUUAAAGCUGGCUUUACUAGUCCUUCUUCCACAAUGAGAGGUGACCCUUCACUUCACCGAGAAAGGAAGGAAGAAAGGGAGAAACAGGAAAACUUUGAAGAAUCUUCCAGAUUUGCCUAACGCAGAUGUGCAUGACCUGACAAGAUAGAUGUGCCAUUUGGACCCUUUCAAGAGCAGACAGAAUGGAAGGGAGGCUGGAGUGCAAUGGUGUGAUCUCUGCUCCUGCAACCUGCGCCUCCUGAGUUCAAGCGAUUCUCCUGCCUCAGCCUCCCAAGUUGCUGGGAUUACAGGGGCCCGCCACCACGCCCAGCUAAUUUUUGUUAUUUUCAGUAGAGAUGGGGUUUCAUCAUGUUGGCCAGGCUAGUCUUGAACUCCUGAC